AUUAUUGGGCGUAAAGAGCUCGUAGGCGGUUUGUCGCGUCUGCUGUGAAAACCCGAGGCUCAACCUCGGCCUGCAGUGGGUACGGGCAGACUAGAGUGCGGUAGGGGAGAUUGGAAUUCCUGGUGUAGCGGUGGAAUGCGCAGAUAUCAGGAGGAACACCAAUGGCGAAGGCAGAUCUCUGGGCCGUAACUGACGCUGAGGAGCGAAAGCAUGGGGAGCGAACAGGAUUAGAUACCCUGGUAGUCCAUGCCGUAAACGUUGGGAACUAGAUGUGGGGACCAUUCCACGGUCUCCGUGUCGCAGCUAACGCAUUAAGUUCCCCGCCUGGGGAGUACGCCCGCAAGGCUAAAACUCAAAGGAAUUGACGGGGGCCCGCACAAGCGGCGGAGCAUGCGGAUUAAUUCGAUGCAACGCGAAGAACCUUACCAAGGCUUGACAUAUACCGGAAACGGCUGGAACAGUCGCCCCGCAAGGUCGGUAUACAGGUGGUGCAUGGUUGUCGUCAGCUCGUGUCGUGAGAUGUUGGGUUAAGUCCCGCAACGAGCGCAACCCUCGUCCUAUGUUGCCAGCACGUAAUGGUGGGAACUCAUGGGAUACUGCCGGGGUCAACUCGGAGGAAGGUGGGGAUGACGUCAAAUCAUCAUGCCCCUUAUGUCUUGGGCUUCACGCAUGCUACAAUGGCCGGUACAAAGGGCUGCGAUACCGCAAGGUGGAGCGAAUCCCAAAAAGCCGGUCUCAGUUCGGAUUGAGGUCUGCAACUCGACCUCAUGAAGUCGGAGUCGCUAGUAAUCGCAGAUCAGCAACGCUGCGGUGAAUACGUUCCCGGGCCUUGUACACACCGC
RNAcentral lists this ribosomal RNA (842 nucleotides) under uncultured Cryobacterium sp. RNAcentral's name for it is "bacterial SSU rRNA". It matches the Rfam family "Bacterial small subunit ribosomal RNA", at positions 550 to 1393 of the family's 1533-position model. The record is from RNAcentral. Lineage: Bacteria; Bacillati; Actinomycetota; Actinomycetes; Micrococcales; Microbacteriaceae.